CUACCAAAAAUUAGAAUUUUAUUCGUACGUUUAGUACCUCAAAAACACGUACAAACAUCUAUUGGGCGAGAAAGGGGCGUGGCCAGCCGCUACGUCAUAGCACCACAGGUCGGCUGGCGACCGCGCUCGAUACAAGGCACAGGUCUGCUUUGCCCGAUUACAGAAAGUGUGUUUUAAAUUUAUAGUAUAACGUAGUGUAGUACUAAAGUCUUUUUUUUUAUUCAAUAUUAGUGUAAAAAAGACAAGGAAACGUUGUGUAGUGCCAGAAUGCACAAAUACGAAUAAAAAGUCCCCAGAAAAACUAUUUAUUUCUUUACCGUCCGACAUAAAGUUAAGACGAGCAUGGCAGCAUGCAAUGUGAAGACAUGAUUUUGUCCCUGACAGAGGCACCAGAUUUUGUUGUGAAGAUCACUUUAAUGUUGAAGAAGACAGAAAAUUACAUAUAUGUACUUAAAAACUAUGAAAUCGGGAAGAAUAAAAUUAAAAUCAGGUGUUAUUCCUUACAUUUUUGAGUGCCAAAAAAACGAUCUUCUGCUUCAAAUAC
RNAcentral lists this long non-coding RNA (544 nucleotides) under Sitophilus oryzae (rice weevil). Its description in RNAcentral is "uncharacterized LOC115883793". The record is from RNAcentral. Lineage: Eukaryota; Metazoa; Arthropoda; Insecta; Coleoptera; Curculionidae.